CCUACGUGUGGCUGCAGUGGGGAAUAUUGGACAAUGGGCGAAAGCCUGAUCCAGCCAUGCCGCGUGUGUGAAGAAGGCCUUCGGGUUGUAAAGCACUUUCAGUGGGGAAGAAAGCCUUGGGGCUAAUACCCUCGAGGAAGGACAUUACCCACAGAAGAAGCACCGGCUAACUCCGUGCCAGCAGCCGCGGUAAUACGGAGGGUGCGAGCGUUAAUCGGAAUUACUGGGCGUAAAGCGCGCGUAGGCGGUCUGAUAAGCCGGUUGUGAAAGCCCCGGGCUCAACCUGGGAACGGCAUCCGGAACUGUCAGGCUAGAGUGCAGGAGAGGAAGGUAGAAUUCCCGGUGUAGCAGUGAAAUGCGUAGAGAUCGGGAGGAAUACCAGUGGCGAAGGCGGCCUUCUGGACUGACACUGACGCUGAGGUGCGAAAGCGUGGGUAGCAAACAGGAUUAGAUACCCCUGUAGUC
This 465-nucleotide ribosomal RNA is filed under the name Vreelandella stevensii. Its description in RNAcentral is "partial 16S ribosomal RNA". It matches the Rfam family "Bacterial small subunit ribosomal RNA", at positions 338 to 795 of the family's 1533-position model. The record is from RNAcentral. Lineage: Bacteria; Pseudomonadati; Pseudomonadota; Gammaproteobacteria; Oceanospirillales; Halomonadaceae.